RNAcentral lists this ribosomal RNA (254 nucleotides) under uncultured bacterium. RNAcentral's name for it is "partial 16S ribosomal RNA". It matches the Rfam family "Bacterial small subunit ribosomal RNA", at positions 524 to 776 of the family's 1533-position model. The record is from RNAcentral.
UACAGAGGGUGCAAGCGUUAAUCGGAAUUACUGGGCGUAAAGCGUGCGCAGGCGGUUUUGUAAGUUUGUCGUGAAAGCCCCGGGCUCAACCUGGGAAUUGCGAUGAAGACUGCAAGGCUUGAAUCUGGCAGAGGGGGGUAGAAUUCCACGUGUAGCAGUGAAAUGCGUAGAGAUGUGGAGGAAUACCGAUGGCGAAGGCAGCCCCCCUGGGAUAACACUGACGCUCAUGCACGAAAGCGUGGGGAGCAAACAGG